AGGACGAACGCUGGCGGCGUGCUUAACACAUGCAAGUCGAGCGAGGCCCUUCCUUCGGGGAGGUGCCCUAGCGGCGAACGGGUGAGUAACACGUGGGCAACCUGCCCCUAGCACUGGGAUAACUCCGGGAAACCGGGGCUAAUACCGGAUAUGACCUUCUUGGGCAUCCUCGAAGGUGUAAAGGAUUCUGGCUAGGGAUGGGCCCGCGGCCUAUCAGCUUGUUGGUGGGGUAAUGGCCUACCAAGGCGACGACGGGUAGCCGGCCUGAGAGGGUGACCGGCCACACUGGGACUGAGACACGGCCCAGACUCCUACGGGAGGCAGCAGUGGGGAAUCUUGCACAAUGGGCGAAAGCCUGAUGCAGCGACGCCGCGUGAGGGAUGACUGCCUUCGGGUUGUAAACCUCUUUCAGCAGGGACGAAGCGAAAGUGACGGUACCUGCAGAAGAGCACCGGCCAACUACGCGCCAGCAGCCGCGGUAA
RNAcentral lists this ribosomal RNA (482 nucleotides) under uncultured bacterium. RNAcentral describes it as "SSU rRNA". It matches the Rfam family "Bacterial small subunit ribosomal RNA", at positions 26 to 523 of the family's 1533-position model. The record is from RNAcentral.